Molecule: ribosomal RNA, 155 nt
Filed under: Ceratobasidium sp. AG-P
Lineage: Eukaryota; Fungi; Basidiomycota; Agaricomycetes; Cantharellales; Ceratobasidiaceae
Description: 5.8S ribosomal RNA
Rfam family: 5.8S ribosomal RNA
About the family: 5.8S ribosomal RNA (5.8S rRNA) is a component of the large subunit of the eukaryotic ribosome.
Source: RNAcentral
AAGUUUCAACAACGGAUCUCUUGGCUCUCGCAUCGAUGAAGAACGCAGCGAAAUGCGAUAAGUAAUGUGAAUUGCAUCAUUCAAUGAAUCAUCAAAUCUUUGAACGCACCUUGCGCUCCUUGGUAUUCCUUGGAGCAUGCCUGUUUGAGUAUCAU